Pan paniscus (pygmy chimpanzee) is the source of this 426-nucleotide long non-coding RNA. The record is from Ensembl. Lineage: Eukaryota; Metazoa; Chordata; Mammalia; Primates; Hominidae.
CUCAUCAACACCUUAAUAGUAGCUUUGUGAUGACAAAUUCAAGUUGUGACUGAAUUCUUGACACACAGAAGCUGUAAGAAAAUAUGUAUUUGUAACUUCAAGCUGUUAAGUUUGUAGUGAUUUGUUAUGCAGCAAUGGAUGACUAGUAUAAUGGAUCAACUCACUUAAAUUUGGGAACUUCAGUUCCUGAUCAAGGUGGAUAAGUACUUUGACCACUGAUUGACACAGCAGAACAAGGAUUUGGGGUCAAGCUGUGCAACCCAAGCAUGAAAAUAGCCUGCUGAAAGAAUUCACUUUGAAAAUGCCACAAAACAGACAAUGGAAAAAUGAGCGUUAUUUUUCAGUAACGAUACAAAGCAGAAUCCUCAAGAAUACAGACAAAGGUGAUGCAUAUUUACUGUAUGUGCUGGCUGUGGUUCAUUGAAA